This is a non-coding RNA of Gossypium hirsutum (cotton), 107 nucleotides long. The record is from Rfam. Lineage: Eukaryota; Viridiplantae; Streptophyta; Magnoliopsida; Malvales; Malvaceae.
AACCCAUGAUGAGGGCACCUUCUUAAUAAGUCCCUGUACCUCUCCCAUGCAUCGUAAAGAGUUUCUAGAUUUAUCUGCAGAAAAGAAGAGAUAUCAUUCCUCAACUU